Molecule: RNA transcript, 2144 nt
Organism: Scylla paramamosain (green mud crab)
Lineage: Eukaryota; Metazoa; Arthropoda; Malacostraca; Decapoda; Portunidae
Exons: 3
Source: RefSeq, a predicted model, not a curated record
UCACUUCCCCUUCUUCUCUGCUCUGUACAUAUAAUUUCACUUCACGACUAUUUAACUGACGUCACCGGUAGUCAACGAGAUGCCCGCUUCACCAGCUCCACGUCAGUUCGCUGCUAGUCUCCACACAGUCCACACCUCAACGCUGUCUGCUGUUCCGCUCGUCGACCACCUGGCUUCUGUUCACCGGCUUUCUCUUAGGAGUCAGCCUGGUAAGCCUUCACCCGCUACAGCAGGGUGUUAGCUGUAUGGUGAUUCCACAUAUAUGAUCUAAGGACGUAUAUGUUGGCUCUUGUGUUUCCUUCCCGUUUUCCGUUCUUUCUAGACGUGAGAUGUCGGAACGGGAAAAGGGCUCAGGAACGCCUCGGCGUCCCCCCUCACCUGCUUCGGGAGGGAAGCGACGUGAGAAGGACCUUCUAGAAGGCGAUGGCAAGCGGAGGAAGGCCUCCCGGGAUAGUUCCAGUACUCAACCACCUCCCGCCUGUCCGCAGUCAGCUGCGGGCCCGAGCCACAUCGGCGAUACAGCGGUGCCUCCUUCGAGUGAAGUAACUUUGGACAAGCUUUCUACCCUUUUGGGUGCUCUAAUUGAAAGAUUAGACCAGCCGGCAGUCCCUCCAGUGUCGGUGGAGACAAACUUCACCUUCCCCCAUUCUGAUGAUGAGGCAGCUGAAGCGCCUCGGUGUCUGCCCGAAGCUGAUCCCCUUGACGACCUCGAUCUGCUUACUGCCCCCGCUACACAGUCAACCGGUGAUUCGGUGGUUGAUGCGGAUUUCCAGAAAGCUCUCGAUGAGUUUGCUGGCCACUUCCGGGGUGAGGAAGAGACAGGUGACCCCUUAUCUGACCGCCUGGCUGGCAUUCUUAAUGCCAGUCUGAGACGUCGGCCCUCUUCUGACGGUGUGAAGCUUACAUGUGAUAAGAUCAAACUCCCGAGUAAUGUACCCAAUUUAAAGGUCCCAGCGACUAAUUCUGCCAUCACAAAGGCAAUGAGCGUCGGUGGAAAGCUAGUUGACACUCGGCUGUCACUUACUAAUAAACUGUUGACCAAGGCGUUGGUCCCCAUUGCCUGUUGCAUCAGUGAUAUUGGUGAUAAGAAAGACAAGCCUGUAAACUACUACCUUGAUGGUCUUAAUAACAGCCUGAGGCUACUGACUUCCGCUGUUAACUACAUCAAUCAGCUUCGGAAAGAGGUUGCUCGAACUCAUGUGAAUGAUUCUGCCUUGGCAGAGCUCUGCAAUUGGGAGUGUGAGGUCGGCAAGGAUGAUUUAUUCCCGUUCGAUGUGAUUAAGAAGUGUGAGGAAAUUCACAAAUCCAGGAAACUUGGGCGGCCCACCUUCCGCCCUUACAAAGCUCCUGGAAAACGAUUUGCUUCACCUCGCCAGUUACCCUCACGCCCUCACUCUCAGCAGCCGAGACCACGUCACCAAACAAGGUCUUUUUUUAGGCCAGAGGCCUCCCCAGGGGAAGGGGAUGCCGAGACACAGAGCUCACCAGUGAAAGUACCUUUGGUCGGCGUCAGCCAGUAAGGCGGCCCUGCGGCUCCCUUUGUCGACAAUUAUCUCUACUAUUGGCUGGACCAGAGAAUCUACAUUCACGAAGUACUACAGGAAGCCCAUAAUUGAUGCUGGACUGACGUGGAGCUGGUGAAGCGGGCAUCUCGUUUACUACCUCAGUGACGCAGUUAAAUGUUCGUGAAAUUACGAUCAAACAUCAUACUUGGUAAGUAUUCGUUUAAUCUCCCAAUUAUACAGUACACUGAUACUGGUACGCGUGACAGUUACGCAGUUGACACGUACUUAGUAAUUUAUAUGCACACAGAUAAGUAUCCUAAGUGUGAUAGGACAGUAACAUCAUAGGUGUGAUAGCACAUUAUCAUGACUGCGACAACAGCACAUUAUCAUACAUGUUAUGGGUCUAGGAAUUCUUAAGAGCCAAACAACUGGAAACACUCUCCUAUAUGUCGCUCCAACAGGGGGUUUAAGUUGUAGCCUGUUCACAUAGGGUCUCACUUUCUCCAUGUCAAUAGGUCACUUCAGCUGGCGACCUGCACAAGGGUCUUCUCACUUAAUGCACAGGUCAGCAUCUUUUCGGCGUAAACGUUGCGCCCCUACCACACUUACAUCAUCUUUUCUCCUCUUUCUCUCAGCUUC